AACGAACGCUGGCGGCAGGCCUCAAACAUGCAAGUCUAGGGGGUGCAGCAAUGCAUCACCGGCGGACGGGUGCGUAACGCGUGGGAAUAUACCUUUUGGUUCGGAACAACUGCGGGAAACUGCAGCUAAUACCGAAUGUGCCCUAACGGGGAAAGAUUUAUCGCCAAAGGAUUAGCCCGCGUAGGAUUAGCUAGUUGGUGAGGUAAUGGCUCACCAAGGCUCCGAUCCUUAGCGUUCUGAGAGGAAGAUCAGCCACACUGGGACUGAGACACGGCCCAGACUCCUACGGGAGGCAGCAGUUGGGAAUCUUGGACAAUGGGGAAACCCUGAUCCAGCCAUGCCGCGUGAGUGAUGAA
This 356-nucleotide ribosomal RNA is filed under the name uncultured bacterium. Its description in RNAcentral is "bacterial SSU rRNA". It matches the Rfam family "Bacterial small subunit ribosomal RNA", at positions 29 to 412 of the family's 1533-position model. The record is from RNAcentral.